UUAGAGUGUUAAAUGUGACGG
RNAcentral lists this non-coding RNA (21 nucleotides) under Arabidopsis thaliana (thale cress). The record is from RNAcentral. Lineage: Eukaryota; Viridiplantae; Streptophyta; Magnoliopsida; Brassicales; Brassicaceae.